Molecule: ribosomal RNA, 253 nt
Filed under: uncultured bacterium
Lineage: Bacteria
Description: partial 16S ribosomal RNA
Rfam family: Bacterial small subunit ribosomal RNA
Source: RNAcentral
UACGUAGGGUGCGAGCGUUGUCCGGAAUUAUUGGGCGUAAAGGGCUCGUAGGCGGUCUGUCGCGUCGGGAGUGAAAACUCGGGGCUUAACUCCGAGCCUGCAUUCGAUACUGCGGUGCUUGAGGACUGGAGAGGAGACUGGAAUUUACGGUGUAGCAGUGAAAUGCGUAGAGAUCGUAAGGAAGACCAGUGGCGAAGGCGGGUCUCUGGACAGUUCCUGACACUGAGGCACGAAGGCCAGGGGAGCAAACGGG